RNAcentral lists this transfer RNA (73 nucleotides) under Trichonephila inaurata madagascariensis. It matches the Rfam family "tRNA". Rfam says of the family: Transfer RNA (tRNA) molecules are approximately 80 nucleotides in length. Their secondary structure includes four short double-helical elements and three loops (D, anti-codon, and T loops). The record is from Rfam by way of RNAcentral. Lineage: Eukaryota; Metazoa; Arthropoda; Arachnida; Araneae; Nephilidae.
GUCCCUGUAGCGCAACAGAUAGCGCGUUGGAAUUCUAAUUCAAAGGUCGUGGAUUCGAAUCCCACCUGGGAUU